RNAcentral lists this ribosomal RNA (519 nucleotides) under uncultured eukaryote. RNAcentral describes it as "bacterial SSU rRNA". It matches the Rfam family "Eukaryotic small subunit ribosomal RNA", at positions 490 to 1087 of the family's 1831-position model. The record is from RNAcentral.
GCCCUCCGGGUCUUGCAAUUGGAAUGAGUACAAUUUUAAAUCGCUUAACGAGUAACGAUUGGAGGGCAAGUCUGGUGCCAGCAGCCGCGGUAAUUCCAGCUCCAAUAGCGUAUAUUAAAGUUGUUGCAGUUAAAAAGCUCGUAGUUGAACUUCAUGAGCAGUAGGUAGCUUACUACCUGCUCUCUACCAGUCUUUCGACUGUUACUGUGAGAAAAUUAGAGUGUUUCAAGCAGGCUAUUGCAGGAAUACAUUAGCAUGGAAUAACGAAUGUACCUACAAUUUGGUUAAUUGUAGAUUACUAUUAAUAGGGACAGUUGGGGGCAUUAGUAUUUAAUUGUCAGAGGUGAAAUUCUUGGAUUUGUUAAAGACUAACGUAUGCGAAAGCAUUUGCCAAGGAUGUUUUCAUUAAUCAAGAACGAAAGAUAGGGGAUCGAAGACGAUUAGAUACCGUCGUAGUCUUAACCAUAAACUAUAGCCGACUAGAGAUUGGCGGAUGUCGUUAGCGACGCCGUCAGCAUC